CGGGGCGUAGCUCAGCCUGGUAGAGCGGCCGGCUGUAGUGGGCGUCUAUUGACGCUCCGUCAGCGGCAGCUCCCACAGAAACCGGCAGGCCGGGGGUUCGAGUCCCCCCGCCCCGA
This 116-nucleotide transfer RNA is filed under the name Candidatus Korarchaeum cryptofilum OPF8. It matches the Rfam family "tRNA". Rfam says of the family: Transfer RNA (tRNA) molecules are approximately 80 nucleotides in length. Their secondary structure includes four short double-helical elements and three loops (D, anti-codon, and T loops). Further hydrogen bonds mediate the characteristic L-shaped molecular structure. tRNAs have two regions of fundamental functional importance: the anti-codon, which is responsible for specific mRNA codon recognition, and the 3' end, to which the tRNAs corresponding amino acid is attached (by aminoacyl-tRNA synthetases). tRNAs cope with the degeneracy of the genetic code in two manners: having more than one tRNA (with a specific anti-codon) for a particular amino acid; and 'wobble' base-pairing, i.e. permitting non-standard base-pairing at the 3rd anti-codon position. Lineage: Archaea; Thermoproteati; Thermoproteota; Candidatus Korarchaeia; Candidatus Korarchaeales; Candidatus Korarchaeaceae. The record is from Rfam by way of RNAcentral.